Long non-coding RNA from Gadus morhua (Atlantic cod), 5295 nucleotides. NCBI's taxonomy places the organism in Eukaryota, Metazoa, Chordata, Actinopteri, Gadiformes, Gadidae. The record is from Ensembl.
CUGGCUUGUAAAUAUUUUACUUUAAAUAAAAUUAGUAUGGACUGAAUUGAGAAUAGUGUUGGUCUACAAGUGUCCAUCACAGCUUGCACAACACCAAAGGUGUGUGUGUGUGUGUGUGUGUGUGUGUGUGUGUGUGUGUGUGUGUGUGUGUGUGUGUGUGUGUGUGUGUGUGCGUGUGUUUAUGAGGCCUUGCUCCUGGGAUAAGUACAUUUACCUUUCACUUGUCAUGGCACAAAAGUCACUUUUCCGAUUGUCAUUUUACAAUAGUAAUAAUUGUUCAUGUUGUUUGCGAACGGAGAUAUACCUAUGUACGUUGUAUAUUUAUAUUCAAUGAAAAAUAAUCUUGUGUCUGUUUGUGCUUGCAUGAGUCUGUGUGAGGAGUGUCUUCACUCUGAUAAGAGUGUCACCACUGUCACUUCCUGACACUGAUGAUAUCAGAUUGCAGGUUGACGACUCCUCAGAAUUAAAACAUGCAACGUGUUUUUUCCAGCUGAUAUAGCAGAACCGACUCCUGAGAGCAGACGUAUCUGAAGCUGUCAGGGAGGAACCAUGGCUACCAUCUCUGAACCGGACCCUGGACUCUCUGAGGAACCUGAGGACACGUCUUUGGACCGGAGGGAGCGCAAGAGAAGAUUUGCUGGUAGAGCAAAGAAGAAGGCUAAGUCCAGACGCCGUGGAAGCCGUCAGAGAGUAACAAAGGUCACCAUCUCUGAACCGGAGCCUGGACUCUCUGAGGAACCUGAGGACACGUCUUUGGACCGGGAGGAGACCAGGAAGAGAAGAUUUGGUAGGUGCCCCUUUAUAGAGAAUUUAAAAGAAAUAAUCCAGUCCAAAACAAUGAUCCAAAAAAGUAUGAUUUCCUCCAAAUACAUUUAAGGUUUUUUUAGCCGAAGUGACCGUGUGUGUGUGUGUGUGUGUGUGUGUGUGUGUGUGUGUUUGUGGUUGUGUGUGUGUGUGUGUGUGUGUGUGUGUGUGUGUGUGUGUGUGUGUGUGUGUGUGUGUGUGUGUGUGUGUGUGUGUGUGUGUGUCCUACUCCUGAACAGCUCUAUGGUUUCACAUCACUGUCAUUGUGAGCAUCGGACUGCUGAGUAUUCUCCUCAUCUCCCUGCGCUUCAGUGAGUCUAAAUCCUAUCCUCCUGAAUAGAAUUACAAUACAGUAAUCAUAUCAUUGAUUGUAUUAAUAGCAAUGAUAAUGUUAAAUAUUGUUUUUGUUAGAUUUAGUGAUAAUAAUAGGGUUAGCACACAUACACCGCACGCACACCCAUAAACACAGCAUACACACACACAAACAAUCCACACACACGUGCACAAACACACACGCACAUGCACACACACUGCACACACGGGCGUGCUGAUGCAGGCGUUUCAAGACAAAUGCAGCGCAGGACACCGCCUACACACACACCACACACACAUGCACACACACACGCGCACACACAUGCACGUGCAUACACACACUGCACACACGUGGAUGCAGAUGUUUCAAAACAAUGGCAAGAUUGAGAUAACAGCCCCGCCGUCGACACACUCUCCCACCUGAGCCUUAUGUCCAUCAAAGACACUUUUUUGCAAAACCUUAUUUUUCUUUAAACAUUCUCCAUCUCCUUGAGCCUCCAGAAAUGUCUUGUGAUAUUGAAAUCCCCCCUCCCCCCUGCCGACUGUAUUAGCUGUUUUAUUUUUCUUAUGUUUUAUGUGUAGGCUAUGUGUGACUGUAGGCUGCUGCUGCUUGUCUUGGCCAGAUCACUUGAAGAGAUGUUUAAUCUCAAUGACGCAUUCUUCUGUGAACAAAAAAAAAACAUCUCUCACGUCAGGUAGCCAAUGUACAAUCUGUAAUCUAGCCCUCACACCCCCCCCCCCCCCCCCCCCCUCACCCCCCCCCCCCCGCACAAGCCUGUGCUUUAGUUCACUAUAGUUAAGUAGGUUGCUGCCUUAGCUGUUGUAACAUGAACAUUUUUCAGCUGUUUGUUAUUAUUAUUUCCAACUAACCAAUAGUAGUUGCCAUGCAUUUUUUUUUAGUAUCAAUGCACUUUGAGCCCUGAAUAACAGUAAAAGCUAUUGAAUGGUUGAUUUGCAUUCAUAGUCUACAACACUAUCCAUUAAACAAAUACCCCUGUAACCCAACAGUUAGCUGAACAUUAUAUGGUCGCAUCCUUCCACUCCCUGUUUUCUCACCCUGUUUAAACAAGAAAUCAACUGCAUUUGUCCCAGUGUUUGUGCUAUGGGAAAUUAAAGGUCCCAUGGCAUGCUACUUCAUGGAUGCUUUAAUAUAGGUAUUAGUGGGCCCCAAACACAGUAUUUGAAGAUGUUCCUGAAAUUCAGCCGUGGUGCAGAAUUAGCCACUACGGGCAGUCGCACAUUGAGCUUUCCCCAAAUGUGCCGUUUCUGUGUCAGUAGCUUUAAUGCAAAUGAGGAGGAGAGAUGCGGGACAAGAAGGAGGGUGGGGGUGUGGCCCUGAGCAGCUUGAGGCCACGGUACCAUGCGCUCUGCUUACAGUGGAUGUAUCGCAAUGGCGAGGCAUACAACAAUCAAUCCCUUUUUCCUCAAUGUCAUGGUUCAUGUACUUCAGGGAGUCAAAGCCAAAGUUCCUUUCCCCCAAUUCCUUCUCAACCAUGGCGGAGAUAACCCCAACUACAGUCUGGUUGUGGAAUUACUAGGGACGUCAAAGAACCGACGUUUUAUGCGCCAUAGCAUCAAAGCAGAACAGUUAUCCAAACUACAAAGCACCACACAUGUGGCGCACGCAUGGUCGUAGCUCAUUGUCUGAUUGGCAGGCCGAAUUUUCUGGGCGGGCCAGUCAGAGAAAGGGGAGGUAACUUGGCCCCUUAUGACGCCAUAUGGGGCCACAUUACAAAUCAGCGCCCCUUAGCUUCCAUUUUUUUUAUAGGCGAGCAGGAUACCUAGUGCUCGUUUCACACCGAACGCAAGUUCGGUGUGACCCUAUCAUAUAUUCCCCUGGAGAGGGGAAUAUAUGAUGCAUCGUUGCAGUAACAUUUAAGAUGAUGGCGAUGAGUUCUGCCCGUUCUGCCUCCGUGCUGUCUGCGGUCAAACCAAAACAAACUACAGUGUCAGCGGCCGCACUUAUCCCGCCUCUUGCGAACUUCGACCAUGCGUCCAAUCCCGCCCUUUGCAAGCCCACCCCCCUAGACUCUGCUGAUGUCUGAACGACAUCGAUGUCCGCAUAUAAAGCAUCAAGUGUGAAAAACCCUCAGGGGCGAAUCUUCUGAUAUACAAAUACGGCAAACUUAAAAAUAUUAUGCUUGCUUCAUGGAGUUAGGAGAAAAUUAUUAUGCUUGCUUCGUUACGUUAUAGGUGAACCAAUAUAUUAUACGUUGUAACAUUAUAGGCAAUUAUUUUUUUUUAUAUUUAAUUAUAUUACAUUAUGCGCUCAGAAAUUAAAUAUAUUUUAUAUUAUAGCUAUGGGUUUAAAAAUUACUAGAGGUUGAGCGCAGGCAACGCACACACGGACACUCUAGUCUUACUUCUAUAUAAUAGCAGGCCUGUCGCGCCAGUUACUCAAGUUGGUCAGUGUGCACGUGCCAAGCAGCCUGCAGCUCUCACACACACACAGCACACGCAAACGCAUACAUACACCGCAAGCACGCACAUACACACCGCAUCCACACACACCGAACAAACACACCACACACAUACGCAGCUGUGCACAAACAUACACGGAAUCACACACACACGCACGCACACACACCACUAGCCAAUACAAAGGCAGCGACACAGUCGCCCAGGUAAGAGGUUAUGUUUUAACCGUAACGGCUCCGCCAUCGACACACGCGCAGGUAAGAACACACACGCACGCGCACACACCGCAGCGACACUCGCCCAGGUAACACGUUAUGUUUUCAAACAUAACGGCUCCGUCAUCGACACACGCGCCCAGGUAAGACCACACACGCACAAACCGCGACUCGCACAGGUUAGACGUUAUGUUUUUAAACAUCUUACUGCUAUAGAAUAGCAGGCCUGUCGCACAGGUGAAGGUGCGUCCACACCAAACGCGAAGGGGCGACAUGACUCCAUACAAAUUCAACGUAGAGACUCGAUCAAAGGCCGGGCCUUUGAUCGAGCGUUUGUGUUCUUUUUGUCUCACUGCUUUAUCGGGCUAACCUGAGGAGAAAUCUAUGCCAUAAACAGAAAUAUUAUAGGCCUUUAUUACACGGGUCUUCUCAAUGCCGUGGAACGCUCCGUUCACUUGCAUGGGUAGUAGUCCGGUAACUUGUCAACCCCAGCGGCAGACUAUUUCACUGCUGAUCAACACUACGAAUGCUGGUAACGAAUAAAUUGUGAAAAGACACACCAUGUGAAGUUAUUUUCCAAAUAAGAUUUGAAAAACUUUGGAAGUUUAUUUACAACAGUAUUUACAUGGUUUCGGAGUAGUACACUUUGACAUUUGAAUACAGUUCAGCGAGAAAGGCGACGAAGAAUAAGAAGGGGGCGUUCCAGUCUGCGUGAACGAGAACCCCCACCACACGAGAACGCCCAUUUGUGUCUGCAGUGGGAUGAUAUUGAAAUAUUUGAACUUCACCGCGACAUUCGUGUGAUGACAGCCAAUCAGCAUUCAACGGCUACUGAGUGACAUAACGUAACAGCCAAUCAGCUUUCAACAGCGUGGCCACUGAGGGACGUAACGUAACAGCAAAUCAGCGUUCAACAGCGUGGCCACUGAGUUACGUAACGUAACAGCCAAUCAGCUUUCAACCGGCCAACCGUUCCCUGCAGUGCCGUCCGGGUGAACCGCAGCAUGGAGGAGAAGGGAUUGUUGCCGUUUGCACUCCCGGAGCUCUAUCUAUAAUAGUUUAUAAUAUGAUAUAAAUGUAAUAUAUAAUAUUACGGCCAGAAGCUGUGUGAGCCUCCGGACGGCCGUAGCGCGUCGGGAUUGGGCUUCGAGGGGUUUGCUUACUGGCGUUGCUAUGGUUACCGGUCUAGUGUUUUCCAACGGUUUAUUAGCGGUGGUAUCUAAUAAAUCGCGGUCUAAUCAAUACUUCAUUCACUGCCUCUUCCGUGGUCAUUACGAUAUUAUGGACCGACUGCGUCUGGUUCUCCGCCGUCCCUCCCUCUUCCAAAACAGGUAAAGACAUGCUACGGUGGUUAUCUCGGCCGUGGUUGACAAUGAAUUGGCAUGAAGCUCCGUUGGCGGGCAAAAAAUGCUUGCUUCAUAACGCAGAGAGGAAAUGAUUAUGCUUGCUUCAUUACGUACUAGCUGAACCUAAAUGUUAUACGUUGUAACAUUAUAGGCAAAGUGUUAUUAUAUUAUGUGCUCAGAAAUGUGUUCCAUUAUCGACU